UACGUAGGGGGCAAGCGUUGUCCGGAUGUAUUGGGCGUAAAGAGCGUGUAGGCGGCCGUACAGGUCAGCUGUGAAAACUCGAGGCUCAACCUCGAGACGUCGGUUGAAACCGUACGGCUAGAGUCCGGAAGAGGAGAGUGGAAUUCCCGGUGUAGCGGUGAAAUGCGCAGAUAUCGGGAAGAACACCCGUGGCGAAGGCGGCUCUCUGGGACGGUACUGACGCUGAGACGCGAAAGCGUGGGGAGCGAACAGG
RNAcentral lists this ribosomal RNA (253 nucleotides) under uncultured bacterium. RNAcentral describes it as "partial 16S ribosomal RNA". It matches the Rfam family "Bacterial small subunit ribosomal RNA", at positions 524 to 776 of the family's 1533-position model. The record is from RNAcentral.